UCAUACAUCCGUUUCAUUCUCUUAGUAAUAAAAACCCUCCCGUUAAACAUUUUAAACUACGUUUACUUGAUACAACCCUUUCAUUAAAAUCAACCCUCUCUUAAGAAAUCUGUAAUCCCUAAAAAUUUGGUGUCAACACAAAUAUUUCCAAAUAGUACGCGUAGACAAUUGACAAUAAGCAGAGCGUAUAUAUUCUCUAAUAUGCAUAUUAAUGGAAUCAUCUCACGCAUCAAGCAAAUCAUCAUUUUCAUCAUCACAAACAAGGAUAAUCAAGCAAAAAUGCAGAAUAAACCAAAAUGGCAAGCAGCCUAGUCAAGAAAAUGCUGAUAUUGUCUUAGACAUUGAAGACCAUCUAAAUGGUAUGUCAUUACAACUGGAUUCUAUAUAGAGAGCUGGUGUUGUAUAUCUGCUGCUACUUAGGCGACAAUUGUAAAGCCUAUCAACCAAACAUGGUUGAUAGGUUGGUUGGCAUAUUUGAAAUAUUUCAGUUUCUCAUUCUGGCGACGGCCAUUUCGUUAUUCCUAAUACUGAACUGAAGCAAGACUUUUAGGACAAACAUUUGAACCAACACCAUGCACUCCAAGUCAUCUCCUGGUAAUUCAAAUAUUCCACCUAGGGAAGUUUUUUCUGCUUCUGGCUUAUGGAAAUGACGAUGACAGUAUUAAAAUAUUCAAAUUUUGUGUUGCAAUUUCAUAAGCAGUUUUUGAUUAUGACAACCAACCUGAAGCCACUUACUUCUUGGCAAAUAACAUUCCAGCCAACCCAUAAUCCACAUCCCAUGGCAUGGUGGUCGCUCUCUGGCGCUCGUUUAUACAGCCACCAACCGGUUGUACUCUGCUGAUAUCAGUAGCAUCCAGUGGCACUCCCACUCCCGCUUCCACUAAACCAACGGCAUCAACCAAUCCCAAGUCAUUGAGACCGACAGCUAUCCAGCCAAGGCAGCAUUUUCUUUACGUAUAUUGCCAUUGUAAUAUUUUUGGUGGCA
Stomoxys calcitrans (stable fly) is the source of this 985-nucleotide long non-coding RNA. RefSeq lists it as uncharacterized. The transcript is spliced from 5 exons. NCBI's taxonomy places the organism in Eukaryota, Metazoa, Arthropoda, Insecta, Diptera, Muscidae. The record is from RefSeq and is a predicted model, not a curated record.